Molecule: long non-coding RNA, 43358 nt
Filed under: Vitis vinifera (wine grape)
Lineage: Eukaryota; Viridiplantae; Streptophyta; Magnoliopsida; Vitales; Vitaceae
Description: long non-coding RNA (VVIN_LNC001425)
Source: RNAcentral
CAUGCCCUGCAUAUUCUAAUAUCUGCAUCCUCAUGGCUUUGUUGAAGGUCUUGGGAGUAUAUAAGGCGGACUCCACACUCCUUUACUUUCAAGACUUUCUCAGAAUUAAUGUAAAAGUCGAAAAAGGAAAACCCAAUGAAAGUCCGUUGAUCAGAGCAAAACCUUUCCGGAAUAACUGCCUUGGGAUAGCAAAUCACCCACGUCUGACCUGAUACACUCUCAUUAUCUUCGUCCUUGUCUUUUUUAUAGCAAAAACAAUUGGAUUGAAAGAAGGAACGAUCUACCAAUUCAACUCCAUCACCAGCCACAUCCAAACAACAGCUAAGACGACAAGGAUGUGUAUGUUUAUGUUCAUUCUUACGAAAAGAUUCAGCCACAGAUUUAUCGUCUGUUUCAUUCUCCCAUGUAUGAGCAGAUUCAUCCUCAGAUUUAUUAGCUGAUUCAUUCUUGGACCCGUGUGCAGAUUCCUUUUCAGGUAUGUCCUCAGAUUCGUAAGCAAAUGGAACAUAAACACAACAUAGAGCAAAUCCCAAAAACUCAUUAUUUUGGUGCCAAUUCUGAGGGAGCUCUGUUUCUGUAAAAUAUCUUUUUGUCCGAUCCAUAAUCCAUUCUGGAAUUCCAUCAGUUCUGGGAAGAACAAUGCAAGUUCCCUUGCCACGGUAGGAAGAAUCACUAAAACUAGUGCGUUUCAAACCCUGCACCAAAGCACCAUGUAAAUAUAGAGUCUGCAUAUAUAACUAGUGUGUGACAUGAAAAUCAUACCUGUGCCCAACUGAAGCAAUUGACCAGAGAAUGCAAUGGCAAAAACAGGGCUCUUGAUGAAGUGCGAUUUGAACCAUGUGCAUCUAAAAGCCGUAGACGUGAUGGAAGCUCUGGAAUUUGUUCAAGAUUGUUGCAGUGACUAAGGUUAAGGACUUCCAGCCUGGAAAGCUGAUUGAUGGUAGUAGGUAUGCUACUAAAAUGACCCUGUUCCAGAUUUAGUUUCUGUAAUGAUGAUAAAUGGCAAAUAUCACUAGGAAUUCCUCCUUCCAUUAUGUUGCAGUGACCUAGGUCCAAUUCUUUCAAUGAUGAUAAAUGGCAAAUAUGAUUAGGGAUUUGGUGGAGCUUUAAACACUCUUGAAGUAGGAGAGUUUGAAGACCAUUUAGAUGUGUAAUUGAUGAUGGUAAGUCCAUUAUAGCUGUUCCACUCAAAUCAAGCACCCUUAGCUCUCUCAUAUCGCCUUUGAUUUCUGGAAAUCUCUCUAGCUUUGAACAGCCAUUGCAAGACAAAGUUUGAAGGUGUUUCCACUUGUAAAUGCCUCUUGGAAGAAGCUCCAGGUUUACACACCCUGCCAGAUUCAAGGGAAAAAGAAAAACCAAGUUAGUUUUAGUAAUUAUAAUACUGCUGCACCAAACUUUUAAGUACCGUUGUACAACCUUCUAGAGUUAGAAUCUCCAAGUUUGGCACACUUGAGAAGUCUGGGAUUCUUAUGAGAUGGACAGAGUGACUGAGAUCAAUAACCCUCAACUUGUCAUGAAGCUGUAACAAAAUAAUUUUUUUCAAUAGAUAAAUUUACACGUUAAAAAUUAAUAUAAAAUUAAACUGUAACUAAAUAAUAAUAACAAUACCUUAUUGCCCCUCCAAACUUGCUUUAUAUUGCUGUCCCUUAAUGAGAGUUCAACAAGGUUCUUUGCAUGAAAAUUCAUUGGCAAAGAUUCUAAAGGGUAUCCAUCCCAAUGCAGAUAUGCUAACUCAUAGGAAUAGAAUUCAAAGUCCCUUGGAAGGUGGUCUUUAAGAAAUAGCUUUCUACGAGGGUUAUGGAUUUUGAGCAGUCUAAGUCUAUUCAUCUCUUUGAAAGAUUCUGUAGUAAGCUCUGAUGGAUUAAAUUUACAUCUAUCUAAGAAUAGUCCUUCAAUUGCUCGUGUCCCCUGAAAAAUAUAAGAUGAGUAGGUGAAACAAAAGAUGCAUUAGGCUUAAUUGAGUUAUACACACGGCUAAUUUCUGAAAAAAAUAAUAAUAGUAAUGAAGCUUGCAUACACACGUAUAAACAAGUUCAUGCAUUUGACUCUUACCUUAUUUCCUGUUAGCACAUGAUAGGCAUUAGAAUCGCAUAAUCUACUCCUUCUUCCAGGGUCUUCCGGACAUUCUUGACGAAUAAUCUCCCAACCCAUUUGUUGUAUUAAAUCAUGCAUAUCUAGCAUGUUUUUUGAAACAGUUAUGAGACAUCUAUCAUCUAGAGUUGUUAUUGCGUGCUUUGCAUGAGGGCCCAAUAUUCUUGAAACAAAAUCUCUAUCAUCUCCUUUGAAAAAGCAUGCAACAUCCAAAAAUAUCCCCUUGUCUAUAUCAUCGAGUCCAUCAAAACUUAUUCUAAGUACAUUGUGAAUUUCCAUGUGGGGCAUUAUUUUUAGCUUACACAGUGCACUUUCCCAAUUACUUAUUUUCUUUCCAAAAAGAGAAGCACCUAAAACUUUAAGUGCUAACGGAAGGCCAUUAGCAUAAUCUAUGAUAUUGUAUGAGAGAUUUUUAUAAACUUCUUGGGGACGAUUUUGUUUAAAGGCCCACAAACUAAAGAGCUCAAUAGCUUCUUCCUUGUUUAAUUUUGAAACCUCAUAUCGUAUAUCCGCUCCAUAUUGAGCAAGUACAUGUUUGUCUCUAGAUGUAAUGAUGAUUGUACUUUUUGCCCGAAACCAAUCCUUCUCUUCAGCCAAAUAUUCUAGUUGUUUCAACUCAUCCACAUCAUCAAAAAUAACAAGAACUCUAUUGGAGCUUAGACACCUCUUUAUCAUACUAAUUCCUUCAUCAACAUUGUUUAUUUUAAAAUUUUUUCCCCUUAGGAUACCAUGAAGAAGUUCUUGCUGUAACUGAAGUAUAUCACCUUUGGAUCUCUCUUUGAUAUUUAUAAGAAAGCUACUACCAUCAUAUUGAUGUGAGAUCUCAUUAUAAAUAGCCUUGGCGAUAGUAGUCUUGCCAACCCCACCAAUUCCAUAUAUCCCUACGACACUAACCAUAUUUAACUCAGUGUUCAUCAACGAUUUCAAUUUUUCCAAAUGAACACCAAUUCCAACUAUGUUCUUUCCCACACUUAAAGGUUGAUGGUUUAAUCUUCUAAUGAUUGUAUCAACAAUUUCCUUGACAACCUCGGUCUCAUACCUGCCAAUCAUAUAAAUUAAGUACAAUGAUGAGUUAGAAUGAGUUGCAAAAUAUAAUAAAUUUAAAAUAAAUUUAGUCUUGUAUGGCCGUGUCCAAUAUUACUGAAUUAGUAGCAAUGGAAUGAAAAAGAAAGGGGUGAAGCCAAUUUACUUACAUAUUUAAGCUUUAAAAUUUGUAAGUAUCAAACUACUAAAAAUGUGCCAAGUUGCAAAAUUUCAAUACUCUUACUGUUAGAGCAUUGUGUAGGACUCCUCUAUGAACAAGCUAAUGCCUUCUUUCAACUUUGAUUUCACAAACAACUUGCUUAUGAUUCCUCAAUUUCACUUGUCUUUAGGUUUUAUUAACUUACCAAUACUUACCAAUGUUGCAAAGACUCUGUUUUUAGCCUGCCAAUUAAUUUUGCAUUUCCAUAGAGGAAUCAGGAAACAAGUGAAUGUGGAGAAUUUCAUGAUUUGCUUGUUGGUUGGGAACUUAAAUAUGAUUUGCUUUAGAGAAAAUUAUAAAAGGGUUAAAUUUUGAUACUUGUAUUUUUGGACCAACACAAGGGAAAAAUGAAAGUCAGAUUUUGUUGACAAUUUCAUACUUACUGGUCAUUCACAUGGCAUCCAGAUAGAUUAGCUGCUUUUCUCAAGGCAAUCCUCCACUUUUGUAUCAUCUCCUUCUUUUCUUGAUUUGCAUCUCUUUCAUGGUAGGCAAGUGCGUCUCCGAAACUCCCCCUUUGGUUUCGUACAUCAGAUGGAUCCACAUGGUAGAAAAUUGGUAGAACCACUGAUUCCUUUUGGCUCUUGCGUUCAAUGAUCUUUACGAGUUCAUUUAAACACCAUCUGGAGUAAGCAUAAUUUUUUGAGAAAAUAAUAAUAAAAAACCUCGAUUCUUCUAUAGCUCUCAAGAGAUCAGAUGCAAUAUCUCCUCCUUUCUCAAGUUCUUCAUCAUCUCUGAAAGUUUGAAUUCCAGAUGCAGUCAAUGUGGUAUAUAGAUGAUCAGUGAAAUUUCUGCGAGUAUCGCCACCUCUAAAACUCAAGAACACAUCAUAAUUACGAGAAAUAGAAGUAGUCGAAGAAGAGGCUCUAUGGGUGCUGGAAGAAGCCAUUUUUGGAUGGCUUGAACCAAAAUUACAAGGGAGUUUGGAGGGUCCUUGGAUGCUCAAUGACUAUUGGCUCCAGACCUCUUCACCAUGAACAAAAAUCCAAGCUGGGAGGGAGGUUCAGCUGAAAAGCUUCAUCUGCAGUCGUAAAAGAAAAGAAAAACGUAUAUAAAGCCCUCUUUGAGAAAUUUCUUUGUAUAUAAAUUCUAAGAGAAACUCACACAUAUUUUACCUUUUGGUUGGGGAAGAUCCUUUCUCCAUUCCCUUUGUGUUGGAGACUGCAUUAAGGGAUGCAGAGAAGAUGGUGGGGAAGGUGUUGAAGAAGAGGCGGUGGGUAGCAGAGGUCUCGUUGACUGGGUGGAUGGAAUCGAGGUAAGGAAUUCUAAUAUUUUGAAAUGAAAUUUCAUGGAAGGUGUUGUUUUCAGUUUUUGUUUCCACAAAUAUUUGUGCGCGGCACCUAUGAUGAUGAGAAAUCCCUAAUUAAGACUAAGUAAUAUUGCUUUCCUUUUUAAUUAAUCAUUUAUACUUAAUUUUUUUCCGUCAACUUAAGUAUUUUGAUAAUAUUAUUUGUUAUAGAUAUUGAUGGGAAAAUUCUAUCAUCUUUCUAAGAGAUUUAUUAGAUUCUUGUUGGAAAUCCACGUCAAAGUAGGCUGCUAACUAAAAGUUAAUAGAGGUCUGUGACUUUCACAUUAAAAAAUAGUUGGAUUGAUGUAGAAAAGGCAAACCUUCCCCCCACACCCAAAUGUAAUAUUUCAUUAUUUUUUGUAAUUUUAUUUUUCUCUCUAGUUCCUAUAUUUGUACAACUUCCUCCUUUAGUUUAGUUCCUUUUCUUUGUAAUAUUUAUUUUGAUAUUUUUACAACUUAAAUUUAUGGAAUAUCUUUAUUUAAUAAUUUUUAUAAAAAAUAUUAAGUUUUUAUAGAUAUAUCAAUAUAUAGGUUUUACAUAUAUAUUGGGAUAUAUAAGGAAAUAUCGAUGAAAUGGAAAUUGAUCAAAAAUUAUAAAAAUAUUCAAUAUAAUUCAAUAAAAAUGAAUAUUAGAAAUAAUAAUAAACAUUUUGAUAUUGUUUUGUUAAAAAAAAAAAAAGAUCGAUAUAUGUAUGAUAUAAUUUAUAAUAUUCAAAAAUAAUAUUUAAAAUUAAAAAAAAAUUAUAUAAACAUAUCUAAUUUGGAUGUAUUUAAUGACAUAAAAAAUUAUGAUAAAAGUAUUAGUACUUUUAUUUUAAAAUAUUGACAAUUUUAUUUAUAAAUUUAUAUAUGGUUAUUUUAUAUUUAUUUAUUAUACCAAACAUAUGAUAAUUAAAAUUUAUUCAUUUAUAUAUAUAUACAAAAAAACAUAUAUUAAUUUAUGCAUAUGUAACAUAAUUUAUAAUAUAUAUAUAUAAAAGAGAAUCUUAAUAUAAUAUACAUAAAUAAACAUCGUAUAUGUAAGUCAUGCAUUGCAUUAUAAUAUUAACAAACUUAGGUCGGUGGCGUGCUGCGCUCACGCAAUGCCUGAGGUCAUGGGUUCUCAAACCCAUCCUUCCACUAACGAUUCUCUUUUUUAAUGUUAAGGGGUGGAAUCCCACAUCGACCAGCCAUAGCACUCAAAGUUUAAAUCUUUUUUUAACGGUAAGAGGUGGUAUCCCACAUCGGCCGGCCACAGCACUUAAAAAACCUGCUCAUAGACCCUUCUACCGACGUAGACGCAAUAUUUUCCAAAAAGGCUGAUGUCUCUCCGAGCCGAGAUAUCCACCUGCUGUAUCGUGUCGGAUGUUACGGACAGAAGAAAUAGUUCCAGCUACUUUCAUCUUGAUCAUAUCUUCAUAAUUGAUUAUUCAUUUUGAUGUUUUACUUCUAAUAUACCUGACAUUUUAGUUUGGUGUUUCGCUUAGGCUUUGAUUACGGAACUAUUUCUUAUAAUUAUUGGUAGGAAAUUUCCUAUGGUCUUCCAAGUAGGCUAUUUACAAAAGAUUGAAAAAUUGAAAAACCUCAAUGUCCUUUCACAUUUGAAGAUAGUGAAAUUCAUAUAAAAACAAUCAAUACUACAAAAAUUUGUAUGAAGAUAAUGCUAUUUAAAGAAGGUUAAUAGACCUUGAUGUCCUUUUAUAUUGAAAGAUAAUGAAAUUCUAUAUAAAAUAUUAAUAAUAAUAACCAACGCUACAAAAGUUUGUGUGAAGGCAGAGACCAUUUACAAAAGGUCAAUAGACCUCAAUGUGCUUUCACAUUGAAAGAUAAUGAAAUUCACAUAAAAAUAAUAAUAAUAGUAACUAAUGCUAUAAAAAUUUGUAUGAAGACAAACUAUUUACAAAAGCUCAAUAGACCUUAAUGUUCUUUUAUAUUGAGAGAUAGUGAAAUUUAGAUAAAAAUAUAUAUAGCCAAUGCUACAAAAGAUUGUAUAAAGGCAAACUAUUUAUAAAAGGUUAAUAGACUUUAAUGUCCUUUUAUAUUGAGAGAUAGUGAAAUUUAUGUAAAAAUAUAGUCAAUGCUACAAAAGUUUGUAUAAAGGCAAACUAUUUAUAAAAGGUUAAUGGACUUUAAUGUCCUUUUAUAUUGAAAGAUAGUGAAUUCAUAUAUACAUAUAUAUAAUAAUAAUAAUAACCAACACUACAAAAGUUUGUAUGACAGCAAACCAUUUACAAAACCUUAAUAGACCUCAAUGUCCUUUCACAUUGAAAGAUUGUGAAAUUCACAUUAAAAAAAAAAAAAAAAACCAAGCAUAUAUAUAUAUAUGGUAAUGUGAUAUUUCAUCUUAAUUCCUCUUUUAUUUUCAUCUCUUGGUAUUGAAUAAUAUAUUCUUCAUUUCUACAACUCUUUCUUUUUUCUUAACUUUUUUUUUUUUUUUGUACUCAGUAACAAUGGGUUCAUUUGACAUUCAUUCAAGAUCCUCCUUGUUUUGUUCUCAAAUGAUUCAAAAAAAAUGAUACCAUAUAAGGAAUUUCUUAAAUAGAUGCUUGUAAAAAUUAUAUAAAAUUUAUUAAAAAAAAAUUAAAAAUCAAAGAAAUAUCACUCCUUUUCUUUAAUUUUUAUCCUUUAAUCAUUGGUGCAAAAUGAUAAAAGUGCAAUUAUGCUUUAUUUGGUACUAAUAAGAAUUUCAAAAUCUCUUCACCUCAAGAUAUUGAAGUUUAGGUAAGAAAAUAGAUGGAUAAAAGUAUGACAUAAAACUUUUUUUCCCCAUUUGGAAGGUGUUUGUAGUUAAAGUAAAUAUAUAUAUAUAUAUAUAUAUAUAUAUAUAUAUAUAUAUAUAUAUAUAUAUAUAUAUAUAUAUAUCAAGUGGCAUAACAAAAAACAUAGGAUUUCCAAAAAGAACUUAAAAUGCAUUCAUCAUGCAUGUAGCUUGUCCACCGUAUUUCUUCAAAUAAUAUUAUUAUGGUUUGUUUGCAGUAUAUUUAUUAACAUAAAAUUUUAAUCAGAGAAAUGCCAAAAAAAAAAAAAAACUCAUUUUGAUCAUAUCUUCAUAAUUGAUUAUUCAUUUUGAUGUUUUACUUCUAAUAUACCUGACAUUUUAGUUUGGUGUUUCGCUUAGGCUUUGAUUAUGGAACUAUUUCUUAUAAUUAUUGGUAGGAAAUUUCCAAUGGUCUUCCAAAUAGGCUAUUUACAAAAGAUUGAAAAACCUCAAUGUCCUUUCACAUUUGAAGAGAGUGAAAUUCAUAUAAAAACAAUCAAUACUACAAAAAUUUGUAUGAAGAUAAUGUUAUUUACAAAAGGUUAAUAGACCUUGAUGUCCUUUUAUAUUGAAAGAUAGUGAAAUUCUAUAUAAAAUAUUAAUAAUAAUAACCAACGCUACAAAAAUUUGUAUGAAGGCAGAGACCAUUUACAAAAGGUCAAUAGACCUCAAUGUGCUUUCACAUUAAAAGAUAAUGAAAUACACAAAAAUAAUAAUAAUAAUAAAUAAUGCUAUAAAAAUUUGUAUGAAGACAAACUAUUUACAAAAGGUCAAUAGACCUCAAUGUCCUUUUAUAUUGAGAGAUAGUGAAAUUUAUAUAAAAAAAAACAACCAAUGCUACAAAAGUUUGUAUGAAGGCAAACUAUUUAUAAAAGGUUAAUAGACCUUAAUGUCCUUUUAUAUUAAAAGAUAGUGAAAUUCAUAUAUAUAUAAAACUAAUAAUAAUAACCAAUGCUACAAAAGUUUGUAUGAAGGAAAACCAUUUACAAAAGGUUAAUAGACCUCAAUGUCCUUUCACAUUGAAAGAUAGUGAAAUUCACAUCAAAAAAAGAAAAAGAAAAAACCAAGCAUAUAUAUAUAUAGUAAUGUGAUAUUUUAUCUUAAUUCCUCUUUUAUUUUCAUCUUUUGGUAUUGAAUAAUAUAUUCUUCAUUUCUACAACCCUUUCUUUUUUCUUAACUAUUAUUAUUAUUAUUAUUUUUUGUACUUAGUAACAAUGGGUUCAUUUGACAUUCAUUCAAGAUCCUCCUUGUUUGUUCUCAAAUGAUUCAAAAGAAUGAUAUCAUAUAAGGAAUUUCUUAAAUAGAUGCUUGUAAAAUUAAAAAAACAAAGAAAUAUCAUCUCCUUUUCUUUAAUUUUUAUCCUUCAAUCAUGGGUAAAAAAUGAUAAAAGUGCAAUUAUGCUUUAUUUGGUACUAAUAAGAAUAUCAAAAUUUCUUCACCUCAAGAUAUUGAAGUCUAGCUAAGAAAAUAGAUGGAUAAAAGUAUGACAUAAAACUUUUUUUUUCCCAUUUGGAAGGUGUUUAUAUAUAUCAAGUGGCAUAACAAAAACAUAGGAUUUCCAAAAAGAACUUAAAAUGCAUUCAUCAUGCAUGUAGAUUGUCUACUGUAUUUCUUCAAAUAAUAUUAUUAUGAAUUUGUUUGUACUAUAUUUAUUAACAUAAAAUUUUAAUAAGAGAAAUACCAAAAGAACUGAAAAAGAUGAAAGCAAAUGUAGAAAAAAAAUUAAAUUAAUUCAUAAGAUAAAACAUACUAAGCAAACAAUUUCUAGGGGAGAAAAUUUUGAAAUUUUUAGUAAAAUUAGAAGUAUAUAAUAACAACAUAUUAAAGACUAGUUGCAUAUUUAUUCUAUGAAAUCAUUUCAAUUCAUGACAAAAUGAUAGUCAAAUGAAAAGAAGUUUGAAUGAAAUUUUAAGAUUAUUGAUAUGUUAAUACAUUAAACUAAUCAAUAUUUUUCUAUAUCUUAGCAGCCAUCAAUGACCUGAAGUUAGUAGGACUUCCCUCUCUCUAUAAGACUUUUUUUUUUUUUUCUCUUUUUUGAAAGGAUUUCAUUCCAUUUGUCAAGGUAAGGAAUUGUUUUUCCCUAUCUUUGUUUUUCUCCCUUUGAAUGAUUCACUUAUAUGUUAAGGGUUAGUUUCUUUGAAAAUUUUUUCCUAAAGAAAGAUAUUAUUUUAAUUGGUAAAUAUACCUAUCACUUUGUUGAUGUUAUAGAAACUCUCUCCCUUUUCAAGAUUGUUUUGUUUCUACUACUAUUUGAAAAUAAAAAAUAAAAAAAAUAUUUUAAGUGGUAGAAAACCAACUAAUGGUUAGUUAAAAUAAAUAUUAUAAACCUCAAGAAAUGAGAGACAACAUCCAUAAAUCAACAAAGUUAAAAUCUUUAAUGUCUUUUUUAUGCUUGUGAAGUGUGCAUAGCUGUCCUUCAUUCUCAAUGAUUUUUUAUUUCUAGGAUGACUUUAAGGACUCCUUCCUUUGCAUUUGCUUCUCUCAUUUUAUAAGUCAAGGUCUUUGAUGACUAUUAUUUGCAUUUUGUUUGUUUGUUUGUUCGUUUUUGUUUGCUUUUCUCCUUUCAACGGUCAACAACCAAUCUUCUUACUUUUAGUGCCUUUCUCAUUUUAUAAAUCACGAUCUUUGAUGAUUAUCUUUUGCAUUUUGUCUUUUUGCUUUUCUCCUUUCAACAUUAAACAACCAAUCUUCUUGCUUUUAGUGCUUCUCUCAUUUUAUAAGUGAAGGUCUUCGAUAAUUAUCUUUUGUAUUUUGUUUUUUGCUUUUCUCCUUUCAACAUUCAAUAACCAAUCUUCUUGCUUUUAGUGAUUGUCUUGAACUUUGAUAACAAGUGCCUAAGGCCUUCUAAGAAAUUUGCUUGAAGGCACACUACCAUCCAAAGCUCAAUAAACCAAGGAAAAUUGUAUGAAACUAUUUCAUAUCAUUUCUUGAAAUUCAGAUCUUGGUAAGAAAUUGAUUUGAAGGUAGGCUACUACCAAAGUUUAAUAAACCAAGGAAAAUAGAAUUCUUUUCACACUAUUUCUCAUGUUUGGAUAAUAUGAAAAAAAAAUAAAACAUUAUUAUUUUUUUUAAUUUUGUUUUUCUUUUGUUUUUCUCCUUUUUGACACUAAUUAGUAGUCUCACAUACAUGGAAUGCUCCCUACUAGAUCAUAUAUCCACAUCAAAAGUUAGAUUCAUUAAUCAUAGAAAGAAAAUUAGUAGCCUCACAUAACACUUAAAACAUUGUGAAAAGGUGAAUCUCAAUGAUGGACUACACCUAGAGGGGGGAGGAGGGGGGUGAAUAGGUGUUGUAGAACAAUUUAAAAAUUCUCCCAACAAAGAUUACCUAACCUUAGACUAUCUCAAUGUUAAGAAACUUCUCUUCCAACAACUUUUCAACAAAGCAUAACAUCCACAAGCAAGAGUGAAUGCAUCAACACUCUCCCAAUAAUUUAUAAAUGCAAAACACAUGCAAAUGCUUCAACACUCAAAAAUAAAUCAAAAGAACAAUCAUCUCCUCAACUCAUAUCAAUUGACUCCAUGAUAUCAUUAAACAAAAUGAACAUACAAAAUAUUAAAGAUAUUCCAUGGAUCAUCACACUUAUAUCACCUCAUAUUUCUUCCAUUCAACAUGUAUGCCCAAGUAAUCAAUGAUAUCAAAAACAGAAAAUAAAUCAAAGUGUAGAGUGAGAGAAAUAGACAAUGAACACCGGAUUUUUAAUGUGAAAAACCUCUAAAGAGAUAAAAAAAAAACUACAGACCUAUCACCAAUUGAAAAACUCCAUUAUGAAGAAUAAAAACUGAGUGCAAGGUUUUACCUAGCUCAAGCCAACCAAUCCUUCCCAGACUACUUGACUAGUACCUUCACUUUCAGCUUCUCACCUUCUUCUUUCGGAGCACACUUGGAGUCCGCACCAAGCUCAAUCACGACCUCUUCUUGAAUCCACACAAGAAGAAAAUGGGUUUUUGCACAAACCCAAAUAGAAUAAGAGAUUGAGAUAUGAAUGAAGGAAUGAAUCAACCCAUUUAUUGCUCAAGAAAAUCCAUUAAAAACUAGUUUGGAAAACAUUAAGAGAAGUGGAUUUUCUUUGCAAUCAAAAACCCCAAAUUAGGAAAACAAGAUGAGAAAAUGAAGAACACAUGGAGUGGAUGCUCUCUUCACGUUUUCUGCAGUCCCUGCCUAAAAAAAUGAGAGAAGAUUGUUUUUUUAAAAUAUAAAAAGAAGCCCUUAAUCUAAUGGCUAAUAUUUGAUCUAAAAAAAAUUAGUUGGAUCGAUCCACCCUUGCACCUAGAUAGAUCCAGAAACAGGGGAAUAAAAGUCUUGCACCAAAAACCAUUUCUCCCAACUUUCUAACAUAUUUAAAUAUUAAAAACCGAGUUGACUCACAUUCAAUCACCACACACUCAGCUACAUACCUCGGCCUCUUAGCAAAGUCUUAGUCUUCAAAGUCAAGUAGUCCGAAAAGGAAUUGGAAAGCCGAGUUAGGGGACACUUAGGAAUUUUGUCCGGAAUUGCCAACCCUAAACACUCACACAUUCACAAGUCACUAUCUCUAUAAUAAAACAAAUAGAGUAAUUAGAGUAUUAUUUUUUAAAGCUUUAUCACACAGCUUUCUAUGUAACAAGAAAGGAAGUAUUUUGAAAACUUGGUACAAAGUCUCCAUCCUCAUAAUUCGAUUUGGAAGGGUUUAUUGAAUUAAACCCUCCCUAAAGCGUUUCACGUGUGCCCACAAUUUGUGACGAUCAGGAAGAUUUUCAUUGAUCACUGGAACCUACUUAAAAUUCUGAAUCCAUGCAUGCAAUCGAGGGAAUGUGGUGGAAACCAGCAGUUUUGUGCCAACCAAAUGCUAUGUCCACCAGUCCUAUAGCUUCCCCUCCAAAAAACUUCUUAUCCCCAAGGCCUUUCUCUUCUAUGAUUUUCAGUAUUUCCACUGUUUCUUUUAUGGCCUUCUCUUGCUCUUCCCCAGCAGCAGAUUUAAAGAGUUGAAAAAAAGUGGCACUCUAGAAGAAAUUAGCAACAUGUAUAUUUAGAAUUGAAUGCAUGGUUGAAAACAAGAGUACGGUGAUCUCAAAUAUGAAUAAAAAUUAUAGUUAUUAAAUUAAUUAAAAAUAGGGGGAAAAAAAAAAGAUUUAGAAAGUCUACAAGUUCUUUUCAUUUUAAUCAUAGGUAUUAAUGGGAGAUUUCAAUUUGAUUCCUCUUUCCUCUCCAAAUUCCUUAAUUCCAAACCUAGCUAGGGUGUGAUAGCCAAACAGAAUACAGCCAAGCUCCAGCUCUCCCAAACCAAACCAAACUGAUCAAGAACUCAGCUCCCAGUUAGUUACAACAACCCAAGGAAGUUAGAACAACUGUAUAGUAGAGUAGAUUCAACUGGUAUAAAAACCAUGAUGUUGCUAUUAUAUUCAAGAGAUGAAAUGAAAAACACGGUUUUCAGUUCAGUUUCUAUCAUGGUAUCAGAGCAGAACGAGCUCUUGAAAGAAGUCUUCUUGAAAAGAUAAGCUUCAGGCUGCACAAUACGCUCAUCUCUCAAAAAACAAAAAAAAGAUUUAAAAAGUCUACAAAUUCUUUUCAUUUUAAUCAUAUGUAUUAAUGGGAGAUUUCAAUUUUAAAAAGUAUCAUGGCUAAUUUUUGGAUCACUUCAAUAAAUUUUUACAGAUAGCUAAUUAGAAAUUCACUAAUGAAUACUUUCACAAAUGACUGAAACCAAGAAAUGGGCUAUGAAAGCUAGAUGGAGAGCUUUCAUAUAUUUCAGUCUUGCAAAAGAUUCGGAAAUUAAAUCAUAAGAAUUGAUAAUAAAAACAAGAUUAGUGAGUUAAACCUACAUUUGAUUCUCCAAAAUUGAUCCAAAACCGAGCCAUGGCUCUCUCAUAAGCAUCUGUCGGCAGCAGUACAUUCUCUGGCCAUGUUUCUUCGAAUUAUUCGAGGAUUACAAGGGACUCGGCUACUGCUUUGUCACCAUGAAGAAGCACCGGAAUCUUCUUGUGAACUGGAUUGUGGUAUAACUGCAACUGGCUCUUGUUACCAAGGUCUUCCUCUAUAUACUCAUAGUUUAUGCCCUUGAGUUUUAGAGUCCAAAUCACUCAGUAACCAAAAGGGCUUGCCCAAAACUCUAAUAGCUUCCCUCAUGCCAUUGUUUUAUAGUAUGCCAGCUCAAUUUGCAGGGCUAUUAGUUUCAAAUCUUUGAACUUGGAGGAAGAUAGGACCCUUCUCUUCAACUAAGGAUUUUCAGCCUGUGUAAGGAGGAUUAUUUUUCAUGGCAUGCCUAGUUUUAUGGACUUCUUUUUGAAAGGGAGAUAUGAGAAUUUUUUUGAAGAUGACAUCAAUUUUUUUAAAAGGAGAAAGGAAAACAUUUAAAAGGAAUAAAGAUAUGAAAUUUUUUGAAGAUGACACCAAUUCUUUUUUUAAGGAGAGGAGAUUUUUUUUUUUUUUUUUUUUUAAAGGAAUAGGAGAUAUGAAUUUUUAUUUUGGAAGAUGGCGUCAUUUUUUUUUAAGGAGAAUGAGAAUUUUUUGAAAUAGAAUAUGAGUUUUUUGGAAGAGGAUAUCAUAAUUCUUUUUUAGAGGAUAUUUAUUGUAUAUUGUUUCACGUUAAUAAAGUUUUGAUUUUUAUUGAGUGCUUACAAAAUUGUUAGGACUUAUUUUUCUGGUUAUUAUGUAGUAUCUCUGAUUUUGUAUAUUGUUUCAUGUUAUUUAAGCUUUGAGUUCUAUUGAAUGCUUGUACUAUUUAUCUAAUUUUAUUAAAAAUAAAAUUUUGAAAAAUUUUGGUUUAAGUUUUAAAUUUUUGGAUAUUAUUCAUGAAAUUAGAAUUUUAUUAAAAAUCAAAAUUUGAAAAGUUUUGUUUGAGUUUUAAUUUUCUGGAUAUUAUUAUUCAUUUCAUUAGAGUUUUAUUAAAAAUCAAAGUUUGAAAAGUUUUGGUUUAAUUUAAUUUUCUUGAUAUUAUUCAUGUAAUUAAAAUCUUAUUAAAAAUCAAAAUUUGAAAAGUUUAGCUUGAGUUUUAAUUUUUUGGUACUAUUUAUUUCAUUAAAAUUUUAUUAAAAGUCAAAUUUUGAAAAGUUUAGUUUGAAUUUGAAUUUUUUAGAUACUAUUCAUGUAAUAAAAUUUUUAUUAAAAAUCAAAAUUUGAAAAGUUUAGUUUGAGUUUUAAUUGUCUGGUAUUAUUCACUGCAUGGGGAGUCUUCAUGUAGUGGAUAGUAGGUCAAAGACCCAAGCUUUGUCUUGUUGUUAUUUAUAUAAGAUACUGGAGUGUUCUCUCUAAUAGAAUGUUAAAUCAAUUUCAAAAUUGGAUUAUAAGGGAGCCAAUACUCCUAUGAGCCUUAGUGUUCCUACUCUGAGCUCAUAUACCAUGAUGAUACGGUUUGAAGGGAGGGUUGGUUUGACUCUAGGUUUAUUCUUGUGCAUAAGAGUGUUUUGGUAAUUAUACUAGGUUGCAUAGGGGAUAGUGAACAAGGUCUUUGGUUUGAGCUAAUUGAUUAAUUAGAUGACCCUAAGUGAUUAAUUAAUCAAUUAGAACUCGUUUUGGGCUAGAUUAAGUGACCUAGGCCUUGAUGGGCUUAAGUCACUUAAGCCUAAUGGACAAUCCUAUAAAUACCCCUUUAUGGGUUAGGGUUUCAUAAUGACUUGUGGUGAGAGUUGUCUUCCAACCCUAGAGAGAAAGUUAUAGCCUCCUCUUUUUCAAAACCCACACUUUUGAGUAUUAAGAUUGUGGUUUAAGUCAUCGAGUAGAAGAUCUUGGGUGUACAAGACCUCCUUGGAUGAAGGCUUACAACACUUGGACGUGCAUAGGUCGCGUGCAUGGGAUGCACAUAGGCGUGUGCAUGAGAAGUGCAUGAGAAGUGCAUGAGACAUGCACAGGCCUUGUGCAUAGGAAUCGCAUGGGAUGCGCACGUGGGCAACAACAUGAGGAACAUCCAUACAUGUUCUUCACAGUAAGGAAUUUAUUUGGGAACAUCCAGAUCCGAGGAUGAACACUUUUUAUCUAUAUCUUUAUUCUAAUAUGGUUUUUAUAGCCAUAUGUUUUCACUAUAAUAGAUUUAGAGAAGCUUAGAAUAGUUUACAUUCACCCUAUGAUAUCUAGGGCAUGAGAACAGAGUAAUCUAGGGUUCCCAACACUAGUAACUCUAUUUUAAGAGUGUUGAUUUAUCACAUGGCCCAUAAAAGUGAAUACAUGGACAUUUAUUUUUAAUAUGAAUGAAUGGAUGCAUGUUGAUUUUUUUAUUCUUUUUUCUCUUUCGAUUAGGUUGUAAACUUCAUAAGGAGUAUAGAAUUUUAAAUUUCUCCGUAAAAUAUUUUUCUUUUAAUGGAUGAGUUGUAAGCUCCAUUUUGAGAGCAUAAGGGUUUGUAUUCUUUGUAAAAGAAUUUAACUUUGGUCUAUCUAUGGUGACCUAAAAAAGGGAAUUAGAGCCCCUGAUUCAUUCAGGGGCAUUCAGAUAGAAAAAGUGAGUUUUUUUGAGAAAAAAAAUUGAAAAAAAAAAUGGAGAAUCAAGCUCUCAACAUAGUAGUCCAAGUGGUAACGCUCAAAUGUUACAAAUCACAACUUAAGCGUUUGAGUGCUCCUUUAGGUGUUUUGAGUACUCUUAUUAUGAUAGCUAUAAUUUCUCCAACAUGAGUUUUUUUUUCUUUUUUUUUUAAGGUUUUUCUAUAAUUUUAGAUUUUUUUUUUCCCAAUGUUUUUAGAAUUGGACUGGUCAUUGAAUAAAAAAGAUGACCAGUGGUCGAAGAACUAUCGAACCGAUGACGUCAUAAAUAUAUAAUUUAUAUAUUAAUAAAUAAUAAAUAAAAAAAUAAUAUAUAUAUAUAUAUAUAUAUAUAUAUAUAUAUAUAUAUAUAUAUAUAUAUAUAUAUAAAUUAAUAAUCAAUAAUAUUAAUUAUAUCUUUGAUAAAAGAUAAAAACAAUUAAUAUUUUGAAUUUUAUUAAAUGAAAUAUGUAUAACAUUUAAAUGUGAAAAUAUUCAAAAUGAAAGGAAAUCUGAUUAUCGGAUUUUAACUAAUUUUAUAAUUUUAGAAAAUAUUAUAUUAUUUUUAUUUAAUAUUAUAAAUCAUUUUAGAAACAAAUAUAUUUUUUCAUUCGCCAUUUUAAUCAACAAGAUGCAUGCAGCCAAGUGGUGGUGUACAUCUUUUGUUCAGCAUACAUCGAAUGUGGAUAAGUAAAAAAAGGCCCUUAUAUACCCAAAACUUACCCAAGUCACAUAUGCAGCACAGGAAACCAAGGUGUAGCCUAUCCAACAGUGUUUGAAUUGGGCUUUUAUUUGGGCCUCAUGGAAUUAAAAAAGAGGGGAAGUUUGGGUUUUAGAUUGGGUCCAUUUUAAUGAAAGAACAGUUGGGAUUGAACCGUUCGGUUCAUGUGAAACCGCCCAGUCCAGGUGGUUCAUCGGUUCAACCACCGAUUCGGACAGCUUGUUACCGAUUCAAUUAAAGGGAAGCAUUUGUACCACACCAGUUCGGGAAAUAACUAUAUGUUAAAUCCCCAAUGCAAGGAAAAGAUCCAAGUGACCAGAAUCUCCCUUUUUGUAUAAGGAACUUGAGCCUAGUUGUCUCAGCUGAUUCAUGUCCUCUCAAUUGUCCCUAACAGUGGUGCCAUUUGAUACGUGUCCAGCUGGUGUCCCUUGAUUGUGGUCCUCAUGGAGUAAUCAACAAAAUUUAUAACCUAUUACACCAUGUACUAGGAUAGCCUUAGCUAGCAUAGCAUAGUGGCUCUAGGGUCAUUCACUGGGAUGGGUUUUCACUUCACAAUUGAUAUUAAUUCCAAGUUGAAUUGGUGCGUUUUCAUUUCAAGGUUAGCUUUAAAAGAAAACAUAAUCUUUGGUGGAAAAAGGCCUAACAGUUUAACAAGGUGGACUGGACUAGAAAGUCCACCGGUCCAACCGAUUGGAGUGCCAAAUCGGUUCAGUUUUUAAAACAAGGUUUUUUUAUUUCUCUAACUUAAUUUUGGUUGCAUGGGUAUUUUGGUAAAUUUUUGAAUAAAUUGGAUUCUAAAUAUUUUUGCUACCAAAAUUUGUGACAAGAUGCCUAAGGGGGGAGGAAUUAUUUUAAUUUUCCUUUUUUUAUUCUUAAGCUUACAUAUAUAUAUGGCAUGUUGUGCAUGAAAAUUUGAUUUUUAGUAAUUUUGAUAGAAAUAAAUUUCUUUGAAAAUUAGAUUUCAAAAGGAUAUUUUUAUUAAAUUGGAAAAGUAGUGACUAAAGAAAGAACUUUUUAUCAAAAUAAAAUUUAAAUAAAGAGAGAAAAUUUUCAUUUUAUAAAAUUAUUUUGAAGGAUUUUAAAAUCCUUUUAUUUAAAAUUAUUUUAUAAGAUUCCUGAAAAAUAAAAGCUUUCUUUCUGGAUAAGAUACUCGCUAUAUUUUAAUUUUCCAUUUUUAGAAAUUUUCUUAUUUUGAGAAUUUUCAAUUAGAACAAUAAAUAAUUUUGGAAAAUUUCAAGAUAGGCAAUAAUAAGAUAUUACUAAAAAGUUUUGGAAACUUAGUAAUUUAAUGAGCAAUAAAUUUCUAGAAAAAUAUUAAUUUCAAGAUAAGAUAUUUAUUAAAUUGGAGUGGUGUAUGAGAAAGGAUAAUUUUAUAUAAAUUGAUUUUAAAAAUUGAGAGCAAUUUUUUUAUCAAAAUAAUUUAGGAUAAAAUGCUGUUACAAAAACUUUAUAAUUUUCAAAGUUACAUUCUCUUAUCUCCCUUGUGUUUCUAAUUACGAAAUUAAUAAUUUUAAAAUAUUUUAUAGAAGAUAAUUAUUUAUGAAGGGAAUUACCAAGAAAUUAAAAAGCUCUAAUUAACUCAAAAGAUAAAGUAGGCAAGGCCUUAGCAAAGCCCACAACCUUCAUUAUCAAGUCCACCUUGAUUUUGUGUCAUUGUCAUCCCAACAGUGAGUUGGCUAAGCAAUCAAAGGAUAUGAACUUUCCAAUUGGCGAGACUAGAUAUGUUAGUAGAACAACCGCCUCAACAAUGAAUUUUUUUUUUUACCAAUAUUAAUAUGAAAGAUAAUAAUCACACACUUAACUUAGAAGUAAAAUGGUUGAAUCAACCAAUGUGGUCCCACUUACAUAAUUAAAGGUUAAAUAAAAGGAUAUGUUGACCUUGCCUUAGAAUUUUAAGAUAGGAAGAUCAAUAUGAAAGGGUCUCUACCUAGUAAUAAGAUCAUGUCCAACCUAAGGUGGCAUUGAUACUUAUGAUUCUAUGAUAUCUAGAAAAAGCUAUGUAAUCAUAAGAGCUCUAUAUUUUGCUAAAUUUAUUAUCUUGCUUUAGGGUUAAUGCUUAGUAUUUAAUGCAUGUUGUUUAUUUUUGUUACAUUAAUCAUGUCCUUUAAUCCAAUUACUCCCAUUCUCACAACAAACAAAUUACUUAAACAUAAUUAUGUGAAUUAAAAGAGAUACUUUGAUAUAGUGCUUACAUCAAAGGAGCUUAAAUGGGUGUUUUAGGAAUUUACUUUUAUUGGAGUUGGGUUUAGGUGCCCAGAUGGGCUGACCCAACCCUGUCUAAUAAAUGAGAAAAUAUGGGAGGAGUUUCUAGGAGUUUUAAAACUACCCAAAAAAUGCCAUUAUUAAAAGAUUUAAAAAAAUGUUUUUUUCUCUUUUCUCUCUUUGUGAAAACUCUCUCGCUGAGAAUUCUCUCUCUCCAUGGAAAACCAAAGAGAGAAAGAGUAUGUUUUCUUUCUUCCUGAAAAUAAAGGCGAAGAAAUACGUUUUCUUUUUUCCCUAGAAAACAUAAGAAAGAAUAAUUUUUCUUCUAAAGAAACAAAAAGUUCUUUCUCUUAAAGUUAUUCUUGUUUUCUCCGUGAAAACGAAGGUUAAGGCUCUCGUGUUGUGAUAAAAGAAUGGUUAUCAUAUUUGUAGUUCCAUUCACGACUUGAGGCGAGAAAAUUAGUUAGUGAAACAACCAAUCUGGGUCUUGGGUAUUUCAGAAGGUAACUCAGAAUUUUCUACCUUUUAUUUAUUUUAUUUAUUUUUUUGUUUUGUUUUAGAGAAAGAAGAAUAUUUUUUUUUAAACAAAUGAACAAGGAAUAAACUUUUUUUUCUAGUUGUGGUUUUAGAAAAACUAAAAAAAUAAAUAAACAACAAAAUGGAUAAAUAUGAUUUUGGAUAUUGUUCCAAAUUAAUAAUAAUAAUAAUAAAAGCAAUGUUCCGGAAACAAAAAAUAAAUAAAUAAGGAAAAAAUAAGAACCACUUGGAGAAAAAAUAGGUGCAAAGUGCAUCCACUACAGCAACCUUGGACAAAUUGAAAUGGACAAUUAAAAGCCAAAAAAAAAAAAGACGAGCCACAAUUUUUUGGUUAUGGUUCCAGAAAAGCCUUUCUCCAAGACAAACAAAGGGGAACAUUUUUCUGGAAUUUUUUUUUUUUGAAAAAGUAAUAAUAAUGCUAAACAAGUUAAAUAUGUUUUAGUUUACUAAUUAACAUCAAAGUUGAAUUACUCUUGUUGGUUAGAACUCCUCUCAUGCUCACUUCAUACCCAACUUCGAGCUUUGAAGUCCUCAUCAUUCCUAUUUCAAGUUUUUUGAGUUGAAGUCAAAUUAUGUUGAUUUUUAGACUAUAAAAAAAUAAAAUAAAAAAUGAGGGUCUUAAAUAUGUUACCCAUUAGAAUAAAUAAAUAAAAAUGGAUGAGGGAUUGCGUAUGAAAAGGCUUGAUCCCUGACCAUAAGAGUAAGAGUCUUGCACUCUACCAACUAGGCUAGAUGUUUUUUGUUUUCAUAGAAAGACUAUGAUUAUAGAAAAUAACAUCUAGAGUUAUAAAAGACAUUGUGAAUAAUCCUAAUAUUGUUGUUCCUUUUAGCUUCAAGAGAAAAUAUUAGUUCUUUUUCUACAUGUUACUUUUUUAUGCUUUAUACAUGAAAUGUAUAUAUCUUAUAUGCAAGAUAUGAUAUGAAUAUUUAUUGUUUGAUAAAUGAGUAUGUCUUUUAUGUACAUGCAUGUCUUCAAUUAUUUUGUAUAUAUUAUUGAUACAUGCUAGUUGUAUAAUAUUUUUUAUGGAGUGAGAGGUUUUAGGCUAAAAAGAAAUUUAAGUAAUUUCUUGCCUAAAAUUAGAAAUACUUGAAUAGAUUAUUUCUAAUUUGUAUAUAGGAUUUUAUUGGGAACAUAGUGAACUUUCGUUUCUAUUGCAAUUUAAGGUUAUUACACAUUAAAAGAUGAUUAGAGCAGGUAAAAACAUCAAUAUCCAUAAAACUACCACUUAAUAAGAUUGUGCAAUAUCUCUAAGUAGUUCAAUAUGUCAACUACAACUAGGAACAUCAUAGUAGAAUUGAACAAGGAUGAGAAACUAAAUUACAAUAACUACAAGGUUUGGUAUUGCAAAGUUCAAUAUAUCCUUGUUAAGCAAGAGACUCUUGAUACACUAAAUCAUAUCAUGUAAGAACCUAAAUAAGGAAACUUUGCUCAACAUAGAAGAGAUCAAGAGGCUUAAAUGGCCUAGAAGAAAAAGAAUUUUUUAGCUCGCAUCACAUUAUUACACUAUAUGCAAGAUGAUCUCUUGAUUAAGUAUAAGGUUUACUAAACUGCUCAUGAAAUGUGGCAAGCUCUAAAGGAAAAGCAUGGUGGACUUUCAAUUAUUAAGCUGUGAGAACUUGUAAUGAAAUUUGAAAAUUACAAGAUGCGAUUGAACCAUACAAUGAAACAACAUCUCAGGGCGAUGAAGAGAAUGAUAAGAGAGCUUAAGGCAUCUGGGCAUGUCUUCACUGAUAAGCAACAAGUUGAGGUGGUCAUCAAAUCUCCACCAAAGAGUUGGGAACAUAUGGUGGUGAAUAUGACACAUAAUGAGAGUGUCAAGACUUUUGAUGAUAUAGUUCGUCAUUUCGAAUUGGAAACCAAGCAACUUAUGGUUGCUAGGCCUAAUAAACAAGCUCAUGUAACUGAAUCCAAUUCUCACAAACUUCCGGCUCUAAGUGUAAUAGAAAAUUCUUUAAGAAGAAUAAGAUAUCUAAUGAGGCUUCAAAGAAAGGAAAGAUUGAGACACACAAGAAGUUUAAGCGUACCAAGAAGGAUAAAAGCAAGUUGAAAUGUUAUAACUAUGGUAACAAAGGUCACUUUACUCGUGAAUGUACUAAGUCAAAGUAGACUCAGUCCCUAUUAAUCGAACAACUAGAGGCCAAAGAGCAUAUGUAGAGUUUAGGCCAAUUAGUUCUGAUACUAGAUGAAUUUAUGUAGGGAACAACUCCAAAGUUGAGGUCAAGAGUAUUGGAACUUGAAAAUUGGAGUUGCGUAAAGAAUGUGUCCUAUUCCUACAUGAUGUUAUUUAUAUUCUGGAUAUUCGAUGAAAUUUGGUCUCUGUGUUAGUCCUUUUUGGUUUAGGUUUCAAUUUGAGUUUUCAUAAUUCAAUAAUGGAGUUGUAUUUGGGAACAACAUAAUAUGGUUUUGGAUUUAUUUUGAAUGGUUUUAUAGUUCUUGACAUUGAUAAAUGUGUGUUGUCUAAUACUAAUGAUAGUUAUUAUUCAUUGAUGACUACUUCUAAAAAUGCAUGUGAUAAUGUGAUCAUACGGCAUGCUAGACUUAGGCAUAUUGGACAAGAAAAAAAUAAAUAGACUAGCUAGAGAAAAUCAUUUUGGUCAAUUCACUAAAGAUUGAUACACCAACUUGUGAAUAUUGUCUAACUGAUAAAACUACAAGAAAACCAUUUGGAAAAGGAACUAAAACUAAAACACCAUUGCAAUUAAUCCAUUUUUUACAUUGGUGAUCCUAUGAGUGUUAGAGCAAGGCAUGGAGCCUUGUACUUCAUCACAUUUAUAGAUGACUUUACUCAUUAUGGUCAUGUUUAUUUGAUUUCUCAUAAGUUAGAAACAUUAGAUUGUUUCAGCUGCUACAUUAAUUUAGUUGAGAAUCAGUUGGACAAAAGGAAUAAAACAUAAAGAACAAAUAUGGGAAAAGAAUAUCUAUUAGAACAAUUUAAAGAUUUAGACUCCACAACAAAAUGUUGUUGCUAAGAGGAAGAAAUAGAAUGUUGUUACACAUGGUUAUGUCAAUGGUGGCUCAAGCAAAUCUUCUUAUUUCAUAUUGAGGAGACACAUUGUUGACUACUUCUCAUGUACUUAACCAAGUACCCUCAAAGUUUGUUUCACCUACUCUAUAUGAGUUUUCGAAUAACCGAAAGCCUGAUCCUAGCAAUUUGCGACCUUGGGGGUCGAUGGCUUAUGUUCACAAUCCUUCUCAUAAAUAUGGAAAAUUAGGUCAUAGAGGGACGAAAUGUGUAUUUAUAAGAUACAGUGAACACUCCAAAGGGUAUGUGUUCAUAGGUGAGUAUGAAGAUGGAAAUUAGAAUCACGAGAUGUCAAGUUCUUAAAGGAUGAUUUCCCACGUACGGGUGAGAUUGAUAGGGAUUUACAUCUUUAUGAAAUGAUGGAUCUCGAUAUAAGAUCCGUACCCAAACAAAUUGAUGGUUGAAUCAAGUGGGAGUGAACUAGUACUCGUAGCAAGUAUAGUAAAAGAGUCGAUGUUGAGAAAAAGUUCUCAAUAAAUUAUUCCUCCACAACGAUUUGAGAUUGAAGGGGAAAUUCAUAUUGUCACUCAAUAUGAUGAUGUUGAGCCUAAUUUGGUUCAAGAGACUCUUACUUGUCCAAGUAAGGAUGAAUGGAGAAAAACAAUGGAAGAGGAAUUGGAGUUGAUGCAAAAGAAUCAAGUCUAGGGCUUGGUUGAUUUGCCUUUAGAUUGAAAAGCUAUUGGGAACAAAUGAGUUCUUAAAAUAAAACAAAAGACAGAUGGAUCCAUUGAAAAUUAUAAAGCUCAAUUAAUGACUAAAGGGCAUACCCAACAAGAGGGUAUAUAGACUACGAGGAAACCAUCUCUUUAGUAGUUAGGUUUGCCUCAAUUCACCUCAUUCUAGCUAUAAUAGCUCAUAUGGAUUUAAAGCUACACCAAAUAGAUGCUAAGACAACUUUCCUUAAUGGAGAGUUGAAUGAAGAAAUCUAUAUGGAACAACUAGUGGAUUUCAUUAUCCAAGGCUAAGAGCACAAAGUGUGCAAGUUAAAUUGAUUGAUUUAUGGCCUUAAACAAUCAUCUAGGUAGUGGUACUUAAGAUUUCAUUGUGCAAUAACUUCAUAUGUUUUCACAAUGAUUUAUGAAGACCACUGUGUUUAUAUUAAGCAAAAUAAAGAAAUUUUUUUUAUUAUCUUUAUACAUGAAUGAUAUACUUAUAGCUAGAAAUGAUUUGGAGUUUGUUUAAACCAUUUAAUGAUUUUUGUCAUCUACUUCUGAGAUGAAAGAUAUGGGAGAAGCAUCUUAUAUUCUUAGAGUAAAGAUCCAUAGAGAUCGUUCUCAUAAACUAGUCGUUCUUUCACAAGAAUACUAUAUUAAGAAUAUCCUUGAAUGAUUUAAUGUGCAAGAUUGCAAUUCCAUUGACACUCCUUUUGCAAGAGGUGAAAACCUAAGUAAAUAAAUGGGUCCAAAGACUCCAAAAGAAAAGAAAAAAAAUAACUAAUGUUCCCUACUCUAGUGUUAUUGGGAGUCUAAUGUAUGCUACGAUGUGUACAAGACUACAUAUAUCUAUUAUGUUGUUAGGAUGGUGAGUCGUUACCAAGAAAAUCCUAGAAUGAUGCUUUGGAAAAUAGUAUAGAGAAUUCUUCGGUAUCUAAUAGGCAUGUGAACUAUUCUUUUUGUUAUCUAGGCAAAGAAAUGCGCUUGUGGGUUAUUCACAUAUUGUUUGGGCAGAUGAUCUAGAUGAGCACAAAUCAACAUCUAGAUACACAUUCUUGCUUAAUAAUGGUGUCAAAUUAUGGAAAAGCAAGAAACAAACUUGUAUAGCUUUAUCAACCAUGGAAGCUGAAUUUAUUGUUUGUUCAACUGUAAUAUAAGAAGUCGUAUGAUUGAAAAGUUUUUUUGCAAAGCUUGGGAAUAGUCAAUGAUGUUCUUAAGCCAAUGACAGUCUAAAGUGACGGUCAAUUUGUGACUAUUUAUGUAAAUGAUCUGAAAUAUCAUAGAAAAACUAAACAUCUAGAUACCAAGAAUAAUUUUAAAAGAGAUGUUAUUGCAUGAGGAGGAAAUGAUCCUGAAUAUUUACCUACAUGUAAAAUGGUUGUUGAUCUAUUCAUGAAAUCCAUUCUAAGGAACAUAUUUUCUAUACAUGUAAAGUCAUUAGGACUAUGUAGGUUAUGAUCUAUGUGGAUCAUAUGUCAUGGAUUAUUAUUGAUUGGAUAUAUGAUGCUUUAUAUAUGUUAAAAUGAUAUGAGUAUUUGUUAUUCAUAUAAUUGAAUGUGUAAUUGGUACUUACAUAUAUAUAUGUAUGUCAACAAGUUGAGGUUAACUCUCUCACAUGAGCAAUUGCCCCAAUCAAUAUGUUUAUGAGUUGGGAUGAGACAAUAUAUUAAUGAUGACGAAUGAGUGAAUAGUAUACAAAAGAUUAUGAGUGUUGUCUUGAUUAAUUAUUAAGAUGAGGUCUAUAAUAAAUGAAAUCUUGACUGAAUGUAAUCGCCCACAAUUAUAUUUACCUGUUUGAACCGGACUUGAGUUUUAUCAUAAAAGGUUUAAAGAGAACAAUAGACGCAAAACGCAAACAAUCUACUGGUGUGAAGCUCUUAAUUAAGGUCCAUAUGGUGGUAGUUUGACAUACACUCUCUAAGUGGAGAGAAACCACCAUAACAUGUAUUUCAUACUACAUGUAUUUGAAUGUGACUAAUAAGGGAAGUGAGUGAUUAAUCUUUGCAUCUUCACUGUGUGAGAUCCUUAGGGCUUAUUACAAUUAUAAUAGCCCAUUAUUGUACUCUUUGUACUUUUGACUAUGUUUUGAGGUGACAAAUUAAUGUUGCUACUUUGGUAUGUUUUCGAUGGAAAUGAAAUAAUUUAUCCUUAUGGGACAUAUUGGGCAAACAAUUAAUUUGGAUCUAAAAGACAUGAGCUCAAAAGGAAGCCUUUUUUCUAGUUACAUUGAAAGAUGGUACCCUUCUUUUAAAGAAGAAAUGUCUUUUAUACUCAAAGAUUGUCUUUAUAUUCCUAACUAUAGAAAUAAUUUGAUUUCACUUUCUAGUUUAAAUAAAUGUGACUUUUUGGUUUCUUUUAAUAAAGACAUUAUUAGAAAGAAUGUUGUAUUGUGAAUAAUGGCACUGGCGUGAGAAGAAAUCGUGCAUCAUCAACUUUAGCACCAUAUUACAAUUGAGAUCAUGCACAACAAAAGUUCACUACAACUUAAAAAAAUAUCCUAUAAUUAAAGUUGUUUUUUUUUUUAUUGAUCAUAAGAAUGAACAUGAGUACAUUUUUAAUAUGGCUAGAUUUUAACAUGCAAGAAAAUCUAGAUGUGGAUGUAUCCAUGAUUUUACUUGGUUGGCUAAUAAAACUUCAAGGUCCCUCGCAAAUUAAAAGAAUUUAAUUUUUAUUUAUGCCUUAUUUUUUGCGAAUGCAUUCCUAAUUGAUUAGAUAAGGGUUUAAAUUUCAUUAUCUUUAUUUGAAUAUUAUGAACACACUAGUUAAUUUAUUGGUCAUUUCUAGAAUAGCAUAAUUUACCUAAUGAGCAUAGAAAAGAUGUUAUAAUAUACGCAUUAUGUGAACAUCAAUAGUCAUAUUUUGGUUGUUCACUUAUGAUCCCUGUUUUUCUCUACUUGUAAGUUGAGACUUAUAUAUAAGAAUAGCUCAUCCAAUGUGUUUCUAAAUACUCACACUCAAAUGAGGACUUAUUUUUAUUGUCUUUAGGAAUUUCUACCUAAAAGUGGUCAUAAAAUGCAAGGUUUCAAUUUUAUAGAUAUUUUCAUAAUAAUCAUAUUAUAAACAAUCAAUAAAAGUUAGUUUCAUGUAUGAAAUCAUAUAUUAACAAAAUAUAAAAAAUACUUAAAUCAUCUUUCCAAAAUAUUCAAAUAAUAAGGUGACUAAAGAAUUUAAAUAUACUUAUAAUUCACAUAAACAUGUAUACAUCCAUUACUUGUGAAUUAAAGAAUGAAUUCCAUAAAGGUUUUAAUCAAGCAAAAUCAGUACCAUAAUUUUGUCUUUAACUCGUUGUAAUAGACAGGGACAUAUACCUCUCUCAAAACAUUUGAAAUGAAAAUUUUGAAAUCACGAUGUUCUUCUUCUUUUGAAUUUGAUUGCUUGUUCUUAAUUUGACAUUCUCUUUCCCUUUGAGAUUAAAAACAAACAAACAAACAAACAAACAAACAAACGGAGUAACAAAUUAAAAAGAGUGUCAAUUCAACUCAAUUAGAGUCUAUUCAAAAUUGGAAAUUUCCUUGCAGCAACUAACUAGCUUGAAUGAAUAAGGAUGUAUGGGUUGAUCAAUUGAGCUUUGGGCCUUUGAAUAAUGAUAUCAAAUUUUCACUUUCAAUUGCUUGAGACAUUCCACUUGGAUAUCAAUCAAACCCAAGGUUAAGACAUUAAAUUAUGUAAUUUUCUAUAAUAAGAUAGUUUUAGAAAAUGUUUAAUGCUUCAAAAGUAAUAACUUAUGAAAUAAAGAAUCAAUCACAACAUAAGCUUUAGUUAACAAAUACAAUGCCAUGAUUUUAUAUUUUCGCUCAUUUGAAAUACGUAGGAACCCAGGGUUAUCAAUCAAACCCAGGUUUAAGACAUUAAAUUAUGUAAUUUUCUAUAAUAAGCUAGUUUCACAAAAUGUUUAAUGCUUCAAAAGUAAUAACUUAUGGAAUAAAGAAUCAAUCCCAACAUAAGCUUUAGUUAACAAAUGCAAUGCCAUAAUUUUAUAUUUUUGCUCAUUUGAAAUACAUAGGAACAAAUACCAACAUGCAUCUUAAAGUAAUCCAAAACAAAAUACUUGAAAUUGAAAUAUUCUUUCCCAUUUUAAAGGAGAUUCUAUCUCUUUACACCAAGAAUUAUGAAUAGAGCAAAAGUGUGAGUUUAAAUUGGCAUCACUUUAAUCAAAAUCUCAAAUUGGGUUGAAGUAUUUGACUUGCCUUGAUUAAUAAGGGCAUCCGCAUCCAUGGCUUAACCAAUAGGGGCUGGGCAUUUGACAUUAUGUAUUUAGCAGCUUGGAAUGUCCCAUCAAAGCUUGAUGUGUACUAACUUUUCCAACAAAAUGUUUAAUCUGCAAAAAAAUUAACAAUGCAAUCAAGCUUGUCCUACAAAUGCCUUAAAACAAGUUCCAAUAAAAAUGGGUUUUGAAAAAAAAAAAUUAAAAAUUAAAAUUCAGCCCCUUGGAAUCAGCAAGGCAUAUAUAAUAGAAACUAAGAAAAGGAGGGUGGCUUAAUUACCAAAAAGUUGAGAUAAAUGUUUGGUCAACAUCAACAAUUCUCUUACUUGAAAUUAGUGUCUUGUGCAGCAUAUCCAAUGAACAAAUUUGCAAAGAAGCUCCAGCCAUCUAUGCAUAUGGUCCAUUUCAUGGUCUUGGGCAUCAACACCAUUAUCAUCAAUAUUCAGGGUGGUGCCAUCACAGCUUCUCUCCAUUCAUUUGAGUGAUAUCCCUCGGGAAUAUUUGACUUAGGAUAAUAUAUCAAGCACCCUUGACUUGAUGCAUCUUCAUCAUAGCAGAAUUCACAAAAUUGAUGAGACUGACAGGAAAAAUAGGCACUGUCAUCAUCGAAAUUCAAUUUACAGUUGAAAUCCCUAUGUGGUGUGGUCUCAAUCUCAAGUGGAACAUAAGGAGAGCACAGAACAAAGCCCAAGAAGUCAUCAUUUUCAUACCAACUCCAGGGAAGUUUCAUUGUUGUAGGGACCCCUCCCUCUGGGAAACACGUGGCACGCAUCUCACAAUGACACGUGGCACGUGUCAUCAGCUGGACCAUCAUCAUCCGGAUCCCCCUAAGGAUGCGUAUUAUACAGUUCUCCUAUCCGGACCGCCUCAAGGAAAGGCAAAUGACGUUUCAGCUUCUCCUAUCCAAGGAAGAGCAAACGACGCUGACAGAUCAUAGACAUCCGGACAACCUUCAUAACACAUUCGCUCCACAAUACAUCCGGAUAAUCAGCAUGUGACAUCCGGAUAUAAUCGUCCGGCUCAUCAAUUAAAGUAAAGCGAGUCUUACACGCUAUCACAACAAACAGCCAUGGCCCACAUCCUAUCAUCUGCAAAGUGAGAAGACAAGAUGAGGUGACAGCAAGUCACUUCCCACGAUCAAUUUUACGUGAUCACUUCCCACGAUCUCUGACAGCCGCAUCACCUACCAUGGUUUCUGACAGCCGCUCGUAGGGUGAUGAUGCUCAUACUGACGCCUAUUAUCAUCAUAACAACAUAAAAUAUCUCCUCACCAUUAAUGAGGAGGACAGUACCCCUAAAGCUGUAUAUAUAAGCCUUCACAUGAAGAAGAAGGGAAUCCCCCUGGUAACCUCCUAAUACCUGGUAAAGGGCCAACUGAUUUAUAUCUCUCUCUGACCAUGGCUAACAAAACCAUCGGAGGGUGCGUCCGGACACCCUGUCCGGAUGCCUUCUUGCAGGUAUAACGACUGGAUCAAGAACCUUUAUGAGUUGAAAUCACGUGUCCAUCCAUCUGGCAACUACGUGGAUCAUCAAAGACGCGAGGUAUCAACAUUGGCGCCGUCUGUGGGAACUUUUUACUUUGAUUCAGUCACUAAAAAAGAUGGCCACACCUUCCCAAAGCCGUUCAUCUGGUAGGGGAGAGGAUGAUAAUUUUGAAUGGCGCCUAGCCAUCGAAAGGAGACAGUUGGCAAGCGAAAGACAGCUAAAAGCUCUCCUCCAGGAGACAGAAAGAUUGAGAGAAGAAAACGCGGUGUUACGCAUCCAGGCUUCAACAUCAGGGCCUCCUCGACGUCAGCGUUCGAGGAGCCAAGUAGCAAACUCAAGGCCUCAACAAGAACCAGAGUCAAUAUAUCCUGGGACAACAGGAGCUAUCCCAGGAGCAUGCAACGUAAGACCUCAUGAGCCACGCACGCCUAUGCCUCGAGCUCCCCGUGAGGAAAGCUCAGACUCUACUCAUUUUUCAGCGAAGAGACAACGUGAUAAAAAAUCCCAAUUGUCAAAUUCGAUGCGCGCAAGACUAGGCCCACAAGAGCCUGGAAGAUCAAGGCCACCAAUGGCCACAACUUGGGCACCACGCCCUGACCCCAUGGCCACCCCCAUGGUGCAAAACGUUUACCCGCAUCGUGACCCCGUAGUCACCCCCGUAAUGCGGAACGUUCAUUCGCACCCAACAGAACAGCCAACUGGGAGAAACAUCCCAAACGGGCCACCCAUUGGCUCCAUCAGCAAAAGGCUGGAUGACAUGCUCUCCACGCCUUUCUGCUCUCAUAUCAUUAAUUACGAGCCCCCAAGGGGAUUCCUCGUACCAAAAUUUUCCACAUACGAUGGAACCAAUGAUCCCUUCGAUCACAUCAUGCAUUAUCGACAACUCAUGACGCUCGAUAUUAGCAACGAUGCACUACUAUGCAAAGUAUUUCCCGCCAGCCUACAAGGACAGGCCCUUUCAUGGUUUCAUCGCCUACCGCCCAACUUCGUUGGCAAUUUCAGGGACCUGUCCGAAGCUUUCGUGGGACAAUACCUGUGCUCCGCUCGACACAAGCAAAAUAUCAGCACCUUGCAAAACAUAAAAAUGCAAGAUAAUGAAUCCUUGAGGGAAUUUGUGAAGCGGUUUGGCCAAGCCGUACUUCAAGUGGAAGCUUGCAGUAUGGAUGCUGUCCUAUAGAUCUUCAAACGAAGCAUCUGUCCAGGCACUCCAUUUUUCGAAUCACUGGCUAAAAAGCCUCCUACUACGAUGGAUGACUUAUUCAGACGAGCCAACAAAUAUUCAAUGCUCGAAGAUGACGUACGUGCAGCCACCCAACAAGUUUUGGUUGCCGGAAGGCCGUCUAGAAGUAAUUCGGAGAGAAAUACUAAACCUCCGGAUCGGCCAAAAUCGUUUGACCGAAGGCAGGAAGGGCCAAGUCGCCCGAAAAUGCCUCCUCUCACACCUCUUUCUAUAUCAUAUGAGAAGUUUCUCCCGAUGAUCCAGGACUUGUCCAACUUCAAGUGGCCUAGACCCAUUGGAACGGACCCAUCCACAAGGGAUCGUAGUAGGAGAUGUGCCUUCCACAAAGAUCAUGGCCAUACAACAGAGACAUGCCGAUCUUUCCAGUAUCUGGUCGAAAGGCUCAUAAAAGCAGGGCAUUUGAAGCAAUACCUCCGAUUAGAUAAUGGACGAAGGGACACACCCCAACAUCACAACCCCGAGAACCUUAGGGCCCCAGCUACCCCCAAGGCCGUUAUAAACUAUAUUACCGAGGGUCCAUCUGACGAGGAGUACGACUCUAGGCGAAAGAGGCAAAAAUUGUUGCGAGCCGCAUCAAUACGCGAACGCAUCAACUCCAUCCGGCCUGGGCUAACUGGAGGGGGCCCUUGCCCCAUAGAUGGAACAAUCAUUUUUCCACCGGUGGAUCCCACCCGAACACUGCAGCCGCAUCGCGACGCCCUCAUCUUGUCCCUGGAAAUUGGGGACUUCGAUGUGCGGCGUAUCUUGAUUGACCCAAGCAGUUCGGCCGAUCUUGUGCAAGCAUCGGUCGUGGGCCACAUGGGACACACUCUCACAGGCCUCGAAAACCCUGGACGAAUCCUAUCCGGAUUCAACGGGUCUUCAACUACAUCCUUGGGAGACAUUGUACUGCCGGUCCAAGCAGGCCCAGUCACUCUCAAUGUACAGUUUUCAGUAGUACAGCAGCUAUCACCCUUCAAUGUCAUUUUGGGGCGCACAUGGCUCCACUACAUGAAAGCUAUCCCCUCUACAUACCAUCAAAUGGUGAGUUUUCUCACCAACGAUGGCCAAGUCGACCUAUAUGGCAGCCAAUUAGCCGCUCGCCAGUGCUAUCAGAUAGCACGUGAAGCAGGGGCCAACCAGGAGGAUGCAUCUCCCCCUGAACCCAGCAUUGCACAUGACCAAUAGCAAUUAUUGGGUCCGACGGACAAAGAUCCCCCGGCAGCAGAUCCCUUACAAACAAUCCAAAUUUCAGAGGAAAACACUCACCUCACGAACAUCAGUUCCCUCAUGACACGAGAAGAAACGCAGAGCAUGCAAAAUAUUCUCAAACAGAACCAUGACAUCUUCGCAUGGGCACAUUCUGACAUGAAGGGAAUUCAUCCCUCCAUUGCAUCUCACAGGCUUAACGUCUUUUUAACUGCCAGACCCGUCCGGCAGAGGAUUAGGCGAUUUCACCCGGAUAGACAAAGAGUCAUCCGGAAUGAGAAUGACAAAUUACUCGAAGCCGGAUUCAUCAGAGAAGUUUCUUAUCCGGAUUGGUUGGCAAACGUAGUAGUGGUACCCAAAAAAGAAGGAAAAUGGCGAGUUUGUGUAGACUAUACCAAUCUCAACAAUGCGUGUCCAAAAGACAGUUUUCCCUUGCCUUGAAUAGAUCAGAUUGUGGAUUCCACCUCCGGGCAAGGAAUGCUCUCUUUCUUGGAUGCCUUCUCCGGAUAUCAUCAAAUCCCCAUGUCCCCGGAUGACGAAGAAAAGACAGCAUUCAUAACGCCACACGGCCUCUAUUGCUACAAAGUCAUGCCAUUUGGACUCAAAAAUACUGGCGCCACUUAUCAAAGAUUGAUGACUAAAAUCUUCAAACCUCUGAUAGGCCACUCGGUAGAGGUAUAUAUUGACGAUAUCGUGGUUAAAAGCAAAACUCGAGAACAGCAUAUCCUUCACUUACAAGAAGUUUUUCACCUCUUGCGAAAGUAUGGCAUGAAGCUAAAUCCUUCCAAAUGCUCCUUUGGCGUGAAUGCUGGCAAAUUCCUGGGAUUUAUGGUCAGCUAAAGAGGCAUAGAAGUCAGCCCGGAUCAAGUCAAAGCAGUCAUGGAAACACCCCCUCCCAGGAACAAGAAGGAGUUACAAUGCCUCACAGGCAAGCUCGUUGCGUUAAGGCGUUUCAUAGCCCGCUUCAUUGAUGAGUUGCGACCCUUCUUCUUGGCAAUACGAAAAGCUGGAGCACACGGAUGGACGGACAGUUGCCAAAACGCUUUGGAAAGGAUUAAGCAUUGUCUUAUACAACCACCCAUCUUGAGCAGCCUCAUCCCAAAGGAGAAAUUGUACAUGUAUUUGGCAGUAUUAGAAUGGGCAAUCAGCGCCGUUCUAUUCCGCUGCCCCUCACCCAAGGAGCAGAAACCUAUCUACUAUGUCAGCAGGGCAUUGGCAGACAUAGAAACCAGAUAUUCAAAAAUGGAACUAACAGUCUUAGCCCUUCGGAGCGCUACCCAAAAGCUCCGGCCCUAUUUCCAAGCCCACCCGGUGAUCGUGUUAACCGAUCAACCCCUUCGCAACAUUCUGCACAAACCAGAUUUAACCGGGAGAAUGCUGCAAUGGGCCAUUGAGUUAAGCGAAUUUGGAAUCGAAUUCCAACCUAGAUUGGCCAUGAAAGGCCAAGUAAUGGCUGACUUCGUGCUAGAAUAUUCCCGAAGACCCAGCCAACAUGACGAAUCAAGUAAAAAAGAAUGGUGGACUCUGCGAGUUGACAGAGCCUCACGCUCAUCAGGCUCUGGAGUCGGGCUCCUAUUACAGUUCCCAACUGGGGAACAUUUGGAACAAGCCAUCCGGCUGGGAUUUUCUGCCUCUAACAACGAAGCAGAAUAUGAAGCCAUCUUGUCCGGAUUGGACCUCGCCCUCGCUCUAUCCGUCUCCAAACUCCGGAUCUACAGUGACUCACAACUCGUGGUAAAGCAUGUCCAGGAGGAAUAUGAGGCUAAAGACGCACGCAUGGCGCGAUACUUAGCUAAAGUAAGAGACACCUUGCAGCAAUUCACCGAAUGGGCAAUCGAAAAAAUCAGGCGAGCUGACAACAGGCUCGCUGACGCCUUGGCCGGCAUAGCUGCCUCCCUCCCCAUCAAAGAAGCCAUUCUAUUGCCCAUACAUGUGCAACCCAACCCCUCUGUCGCAGAAAUUUCCACCUGCAAUACCAUUGAGACAAACCAGGCGGAUGGCCAAGAAUGGACGUAUGACAUCACAGAGUAUAUCCGGACCGGCACCCUACCCGGAGAUCUCAAACGGGCACACAAAGUCCGGGUGCAAGCUGCCCGUUUCACCCUGAUUGGGGGGCACCUGUACAAGCGAUCCUUCACAGGACCUUACCUUCGAUGCCUAGGGCAGUCAGAGGCCCAGUAUGUGUUAGCUGAGUUACAUGAGGGAAUAUACGGAAAUCAUUCGGGAGGACGAUCUCUGGCACAUAGAGCUCAUUCGCAAGGAUACUAUUGGCCAACAAUGAAGAAAGACGCGGCAGCAUAUGUCAAAAGAUGUGAUAAAUGUCAAAGGUAUGCUCCCAUUCCACAUAUGUCAUCAACAACGUUAAAAUCAAUCUUAGGCCCAUGGCCCUUCGCACAAUGGGGCAUGGACAUAGUGAGACCUCUCCCAGCUGCACCUGCCCAAAAGAAAUUUUUGCUUGUUGCCACAGACUAUUUCAGUAAGUGGGUGGAAGCUGAAGCAUAUGCUAGCAUCAAAGACAAUGGUCCACAAUUUGAUAGCAUUGCAUUCAGGAAUUUCUGUUCGGAGCUAAACAUCCGGAACUCAUACUCCACACCACGAUAUCCUCAAAGCAAUGGGCAAGCAGAAGCCACAAACAAGACCCUAAUCACUGCCUUAAAGAAAAGGCUUGAGCAAGCCAAAGGAAAAUGGGUCAAGGAGCUGCCCGACGUCCUAUGGGCCUACCGAACUACACCCGGACGGCCAACAGGAAACACUCCUUUCGCUCUCGCAUAUGGAAUGGAUGCAGUCAUUCCUACCGAAAUAGGUUUCCCUACUAUCCGGACUGACGCAGCAAAACAGAGUGAUGCAAACAUAGAAUUAGGAAGAAAUUUGGAUUGGACGGAUGAAGUGAGGGAAAACGCGGCCAUCCGGAUGGCAGAUUAUCAACAAAGGGCAUUAGCACAUUACAAUCGCAAAGUGAGGCUAAGAAGCUUCAAAAAUGGUACGCUAGUCCUUAGAAAAGUUUUUGAAAAUACUACUAAAGUGGGUGUGAUUCAUGCCCAAUUGGUGUCUCAGCUGAUUCAUGUCCAGCUGGUGCUCCUUGGAUGAGGGAGUGAUCAACAAAAUUUAUACCUAUAACACCAUACACUAGGGUAGCAAAUAAAAAGCUACUAUAGUAUAGUGGCUCUAGGAUCGUUCACUGGGAAUGAUUAACAAGCAAUCAAGGAUACCAAUUCCAAGUGAAUUGGUCUUGUUUCAUUUCACGGUUAGCUUAAGAAAUAAAACACAAACUUUGAUUGGUAAAGGUUGAGACUUAAACUAACUAACUUAACAGAAGUUUGGAAUAAUUUAGGAAGAAAAGCAUUCCUUGGAGAUUUAGGUUCACUGGGGUGGUUCCUCAUGCAAAAGACACGGCUCUGGUCAGUUGGUUCAUUUCCUCGCAUUAGAGAUUCAACAUAUAGUUAAUUCUCUAACCGGUGAUGUACAGAGACUCCUUCAAUUAGAUUUCACUUUAAUUCUCUCACUGAUGCAACUUGCAAUGGUUCAUGCCUCUCACCAAGCCUCAACCAUUCAAGGUGAUCUUUAACCUUGGACUUCCUUUCACAAACUCACAAGAGAUAACUAAUGGAUGUCUCCUAAGAGUCCAAAAGCUUAUCAAGUGUUGGUUAUUCUAGAAAAUCCCACCUUGAAGUCACCUACCAAAGGCUCGCAAGGGGUAAACUAGUGCAUUUCCAUGGUUGGAAAUCACUUGCCUUACCAAGUGUUGGCCCAGGUGACUCUAAGGUGUUUUAAGUUAACUAAAAACAUUGAAAUCACUAAAGGAUUUCACUUCCUCUUCAUUACUAGCUAAAACCACAAAGCUUUGCAUUCUUGCACUUGGAACCUUCCCCGGCAACCUUAGCUCCAAGGAAUUGGAGGUUUAGUUACUCAUUCUCUGGGGAAAACUCCUCAGAGAAUUUAUAACUAAAAAAUAAAAUGAAAAUACAAAGUGAGAAGGUAAGGCAGUAGAAAGAAAAGACCUUUACUUGCUUACCAAAUGGUUACAGAAAAAACUCCUCCUUGAGAACAUGCUCCCGAGAGGUAUUUAUAUCAAAACAAAAUAAAACUAAUUCUUACAAAGAUAUUUAGUCUUUUUACUAACUUAAAAACUAAGGAAUCAUGUAAUUGGUCGUUUACAAGGAGUAUUUUGGGAUUUAGACAACAAAAAUCUAAUGGAAAAUAUCUCCCAAUGUCGGUAGCAAGCUUCGGGAGGCUUCAGGAGCCAUUUUGCAGGAGAAAAGUGGUGUCUGCGAAAUUGGUAGCAAGCUUCGGGAGGCUUCAGGAGCCAUUUUGCAGGAGAAAAGUGGUGUCUGCGAAAUUUCGCAGACACCCAAGAGGGCUGCGAAAUAUUUUUGCAAUAGCAAGCUAUCUUCACCAGGCUGCAAAGUUGGCUUCCAUCUUGAGGUUCCUAGCUUCCCUCUUGCGGCAUAAAUCAGGCAUCGUCAGAAGGAGAAACACUCUACUGUACAAAAAUGCUGCGAAAUCACUUCGCAACAAAAGGGUGAUUUCGCAACACUCUCCAAAAUGUUCUCUUCAGCUCGGAGUGAUUGGCUUGUAAUGGCUGCAACUUCUUCGUUUCAACUUCGAAUUGCACACCGUUUGAAGCAUUGGAUUGUUGACUUCCUGAGCUUUGAAAUGGUAUAUAGCAUGCAUCAUUUGGACUUCAGAAAGUGCCCCAAAAGUGGCUGCUACAACUGUCAUCAAGAACAUGCUUUAUGGCAGAUUCUCUUUGCUUUUUCUCCUUGCAAUCCGGAUUCACUCUUCUAAGCUUUGCCCAAGAUUCCUCAUAGCUCUCCUCAUUAUUGACUUGCUUUGGUGAUCAAAAUACUAACAAAAACACCAAAACUUACACAAAGUGAUCAAAAUUGCUUUAAAGGAUCCUUAACAUGCCAAUUGAGUUAAAAGGCCUAAACUACUACUCAAAAGUGGUUAAAAGGAUUGAUUAUAGGCUAAUCAAAUAGCACUUUUUGAGUAGUAAUCAGGGUGCAGGGAAAUUCCAAGCCAACUGGGAAGGACCCUAUAUAGUGUCUAAGGCAAGUGACAAUGGAGCCUAUCAUUUACAAAAGUUAGACGGAACUCCAUUACUUAGGCCAUAGAAUGUGUCUAAUUUAAAACAGUAUUAUCAAUGAAAAAGCAAAGACAAGUGCAAAUGGAAAAAUAACUGUUUUAUUGAUGUAUAUAAAUGUAUGUACAAAGAGGUCUCCGGACCAUAGAAAGUACAAAAAGAAGAUUACAGCAAAAAGUUGCAAAACGACAAAAGCUAUCAGGGAGCAGCCUUAAAGUUUCUUCUCUUCACCCGGAGGAAUUGAAGGGACAUCCCGCUUUAUGCCAUUCUUCUUCAUACAACAGCGAUAGCCGAAGAUGAAGGUGUCAUCCACUUGUUUUUGGUAGUCCACUUCAAGUUCCUCCCUUUCUACAGCAAACUCCCGCUCAAGCUCUUCUCUUUGCACGGAUAAGCGCAACUGCAAAUCUUCCUUCUGCUUCUUUUCAAUAGAAGCCUCUGUCCGGAGUUGCCUCACCUCUCCCCCUAUCCGGGCUAUCUCAUCCUCUGCCUCAUGCAGACGGGCAAUCGAUGAUUCCUCCCGGUCCUUAGCCUCAGCCAAUUCCACCCGAAGGGCUUCAUUGUCCUCUCGAGCGGUGGAUAAGCUGGCUUCAGCCUCCGCCAGUCUCAGGCGCAACUGAUCUUCAGCAUCUUUGCGCCGAAUGGCGAAGGCCUUCAUAUAAUCAGUGGUCCGCAGCAGGUCAGUGAAAAGAUCGUAUUGAUUGGCCAUGCCACGGAGACCACUCACCAGCUGCAGGCAAAUAGUCAAAACAAGAAAAGCAAAAUUAGAAAUCACACCGCAAACGCACAUCAGGAUGACAAAAAUCAAAGAAGCAUAAAAGCAGUUUACCGUUUCCACCAUCUCGAACAUCUGGGCUGAAGUCAUGACAGUGGGCAAGCCAGGUGGAAUCUGUUUCAGCUUCUCUUCCAACUCCGUGUAGCUAAAAGGACUAGCGGAGCCGCAAGCAGCAUCAUUAACAGGAUCCCCGCCUGAUGAGGCAACAGAAGGAGACUCUUGUUCCGGAUUCUGGGCCUCAACAUUUACGACCGGAUGGGUCUCCCCGGGUGCAACCUCAGCCGGGACCAUCACAGGGACGGCUGAAGGCUCAGUUGCCAUCUCCACUUCACCCCCCUCCGGAUGAGCGUCGUGGGCGGAUGAGCAACUAACUUCAAUCUCUUGCUGACGAUCUUGAAGCCGCCCGAGGAGUUCGGACCUCAGAUUGCGCGCCGAGCGAGGCCUCUUUGAAGGUGGCCCCUUCACCAGAAUAAGAGCCAGACAGUCCAGAUCGUCAGAGGGCUGACUCUGACUUUCCGCCCCAGCUUCCUCCAUGGGGGUCGCACAAACGGCCUCAGCUGCAUCGGCAUCUGAAUUACGAGAGUCCGGAUGGUUGACGGACACAGCUUCCUCAGCCAAAUUCGCCAGACGGGCAACCGCUGCCAAGGAGGUGCUUGAGUGGUUCAGCCCCGCGACGUGUCCGGAUCCGCUUGAGAUGGAAUGAGGAGCAAGGUUCACGGGCUCCUCUAUCAUUACCUCCGCCUCGUGAGUAAUGGGCGGAGGAGCAAAUUCCUUGGGAGGAGUGGGCUCCUUCACGUCCUUCCCAUUCUUCUUCACCAGCUUCCUCCUUUUCGCUGGAGUUUUCUUUGGAGAAGAGUCUUGAUUACUACCAAAAAGUGCUAUUUUGUAGACCUAAUUAUAAUGGUUUUAAGCACCUUUGCGUAGUAAUCAUAUUCAUUUAACCCAAUUAAUUCAUUAAGGUCCUUAGUAAUUGGUUUUAACCAUUUUGUGGCAAGUUUACAUGUUUAUAUCAGCUUAUGAAUCAAUUCAAGCAUGCCAAAUGAUGGAGGAGCUACUUGGACAAGUUAAAGCAAGAUUUUAGCUACACCAAAGCAAGCCAACAAAAGGAGAAAAGCAAAGAGAAGCAAAGAGAAGCAAAAAGAAGCAAAGAGGAAAACAGAUGACAGCAGCUUCAGUCUUCUUUGGCACUUUUGGAGUACUUCCCGAAGUCCAUUUUCUACAUACUAUAUACCAUUUCAAAGCUCAGGAAGUCAAGAAUCCAACGUUUCAAACCGUGUACAAUUUGGAGCUGAAAUGAGGAAGAUAUGGCCUUCAGAAGACAACUGCUCCAGGGUUGUGCGAAAAUUUCGCACAACACCUUCCAAAUUCGCACAGCCCAUGCGUGGUGCGAAUUUUCCUCUGUUUCUGCCGACUCCACACGAGAUCUUUUCUUUUGGAUAUUUUUGUAUAAAUUUCCAUUCUUCUCCUUGUAAUCCACCAAUCAUAAGAUUUCUUAGCUAGGAAGGUUGGAAAAACUUCUCUAUUUAUAUCCCCUUGCAUCCGUUGUAACAAAUAUUGAUAUAUUGAUAUAUAGAUAUAGAAUACAUAUUACGUUUUACACUUAGAAUAUUUACAGAGCUCUCCCGUUUCUAUUUUCUUAGUAGCCAAACAGCCUUUGAGGGUUUUUCCUCAAAGGAUGAUUGGCUAAAACUUUUAGUUUCUCAAAGUAUGGAUGUUAUGUGAUGACUUGGAUGCAAUCCCAUGGAAAUUUCUCGCACCUAGAAGGUAAGGUAGUCGUUUUUCAUUAAAGGUUCAUUAAGGCAAAGUUUGGUUUUUAUUUCCUUUGGACAACUUCCAACGGCCAAUACUUGAUAAGCUUUUGGAUUUCUAUCCAUUAGUUAUCUCCUACGAGCUAUUGGAAGAUGAGGUUUUCAAUUCCAAGUUUUGCAUUAAUCCGUUAGAACCAAUUUCAAUGGCCAUUGAAAGGUGAGUUUAUCACCUGGAAUGACUUUGAGUUGCCAAUAUUUGGUAAGCUUUUGGCUUUAGACCAUUAGUUAUCUCUUACGAGCCAUUCAAAGGAAGUCUAAGGUGAAUAACCAUUGAUGAAAUUCACUACCAUCUAUUUUGCCAUUUUAAAGGAUUAAAACUUGAUUUGCUAAAUCCAUACCGGUUCGGGAAGCAAGCAUCACCAUAGUUGCAACCCCAACGCGAGGAGCCUAUCCUGAGAUUUUCAAUUUGCAUAAGAGCCAGAGCAUAGCUAUCCUAUCUUUGAGAAACUUGUUUUUACACCCUUUCAUUUUAGUCUUUAAUGUUAGCUUAGAUUAGUUUAAAUCUUUCUAAAACAUUUACAUCUUCUUUUAAAGCUAACAUCCAUAAGAAAAUCACCUAUUUUCCUAAUUUGAAUAUCACUUGUGUUUGCGAAAACCCUUCCCAGUGAACGAUCCUAGAACCACUAUGCUAUAGUAGCUUGGCUACUUUAGUAAUAGUAUUCAAGGUAUAAAUUUUGUUGAUACGCCUUUAAAGCUAAGCUACCAUGAGUCGAAUCAAGUCUCCGUCGCGUUUCUGUUCGGGAGCCUUCCGAAGGGUUCCUUCGUUUUUCUUCUUCUCCCGAUUGUCCAGGAGAACUCGGCGUUUUUCAGCGUCAGCCUCUUUUAACGCCUGGUAAAUCGGGAGAUCCUUCACAGUGUAAUGCUCCCCAGGCACUACCUCAUUUGGCAUCUUCCUGGGGAGAAUGUUGAUAACGUAUUCUUGGGGCUCCAGGACGACCGCCAUCAGGUUCCGUGCAGUCAGCAGCGUCUUGCACUGCCUCUCCUUGGCCUCUAUCUCAAACAACUUGCUAAGACAGGCAAAAGACGCCUUUUCCACCCAGUCCACAAGGUGGCCCCUCAAUUCCGGACCUACAAUAACAGCAACAAAAGAUGAGAACACCAUCCGGAAAAGUCAACAAAAAAUCAACAAAGUAAAAGCCGGACAAUAGUCGCAAAGCAAACCUACCCGGGACCAUCAAGGAGUAGUUUGGAGAGAAAGGCCUCGCCGGAUGCUCCAAAAACCCCGCCCAGGCACCCCGGACCACCACGUGUCCCGUCGCCCCUCCCUUUAUCGAAUCUGGUAGCUCCGUCACCAAUUGAAGGGAGGGCAGGUGUGCGGACAUGCUGAAGAUGUCAUUUUUUACCUUCUUCAGAGAAUAAACAAAAAACACCUCCAGCAGCGUGAGGUCGAGGUCGUACAGCAUGUUUAUGAUGUUGCAUCCCAUCAGCACCCGGACGAUGUUGGGAUGAAUGAAGACGGGAGGAAUCUGGGUGAAAUGAAGGAACUCCUUGAACAACGCCGGCAGAGGGAACCGGAGCCCCGCGUUGAAUUGUUCCUUCGAAAAGAUGAUGGUUUUUUCUUCUGAUUUAUCAGUAGGCACAAGCACCCUCCCAUCCAGCAAUUCAAUAGCCACGCUAUUCGGGAUACAGAACCGUUCCCGGAAUUCCUUCGCGUCCAGCUUAUCUGUCGUUUUUUCACGAACCUCGCUAGCCCGGGAAGUUGAAACAGUCUUUUUUGCAGCCAUUUCUUACCACAAAGACAAACCAAAAUCUACAUACAAAGAAGCGCAAUGGGUAAAACACAAGUAACCCAGAAACUACACAAACCCUAAACCAAAGCAGUCAGAAAAAAAAAAAAAAAAAAUAACCCUCAAAAAACCCCAAAGCACCAACAAAUGCCAAACAGUCGUAAGCGACUUACCCAAACAAAACCCAAACAAAUCAGAAACCAAGACCAAAGAACCAACAAAUGCAACAAAAGGAACAACAAUAGCAAAAGUACACGUACCAAAUGAAGCUCUGAAGGAGAAAGGUUGCUGCCUCGAUACAAAAUCACCAACAGCAAACGAACGACGCAACACAAAAUCACCGAUACAAAAGAGCUUUCGAGUUUCUUUUCUCAGAGAAGCAAAGGACACAACGGAAGCAAGAAGAAGAAAGGCUCUCAGGAGAAUGCAGUAGGGAAAAAAAUGCAAAAAGAAGGUACAGUGCGCUAUUUAUAAGGGGACAAGACCUCGGAAAGCCAAACGUCCAAACAAAUGCCAUCAUUGAAACGACAUAUUGCCUGGGAAUACCCAGGGUCGGCGGCUCAUCAUAAAUGUCUUUUUUGGCUUCCGCACCCCCACUCGCCACGUGGCCCAGUCAGACGAAGAGACCUCUUCAGUUUUCAAAAAAACCAGUUAUUUUUAACCCGCCCAUUUUCUGGGCAAAAUAGGCAAGUUAAAAAGGGGGGCAAUGUAGGGACCCCUCCCUUUGGGAAACAUAUGGCACGCAUCUCACAGUGACACGUGGCACGUGUCAUCAGCCGGACCAUCAUCAUCCGGAUCCCCCUAAGGAUGCGUAUUAUACAGUUCUCCUAUCCGGACCGCCUCAAGGAAAGGCAAAUGACGUUUCAGCUUCUCCUAUCCAAGGAAGAGCAAAUGACGCUGACAGAUCAUAGACAUCCGGACAACCUUCAUAACACAUUCGCUCCACAAUACAUCCGGAUAAUCAGCAUGUGACAUCCGGAUAUAAUCGUCCGGCUCAUCAAUUAAAGUAAAGCGAGUCUUACACGCUAUCACAACAAACAGCCAUGGCCCACAUCCUAUCAUCUGCAGAGUGAGAAGACAAGAUGAAGUGACAGCAAGUCACUUCCCACGAUCAGUUUUACGUGAUCACUUCCCACAAUCUUUGACAGCCGCAUCACCUACCAUGGUUUCUGACAGCCGCUCGUAGGGUGAUGAUGCUCCUACUGACGCCUAUUAUCAUCAUAACAACAUAAAAUAUCUCCUCACCAUUAAUGAGGAGGACAGUACCCCUGAAGCUGUUUAUAUAAGCCUUCACACGAAGAAGAAGGGGAUCAUCCUGGUAACCUCCUAAUACCUGGUAAAGGGCCAACUGAUUUAUAUCUCUCUCUGACCAUGGCUAACAAAACCAUCGGAGGGUGCGUCCGGACACCCUGUCUGGAUGCCUUCUUGCAGGUAUAACGACUGGAUCAAGAACCUUUAUGAGUUGAAAUCACGUGUCCAUCCAUUUGGCAACUACGUGGAUCAUCAAAGACGCGAGGUAUCAACAAUUGUUAUUUUGAACCCGCUUUUCUGAUGGCAUAUCCACUCCGGAAUCCCAUUUCUUUCAGCAAUAAAAGUUCUGACAGGUCUUCUAAAGUCACGCGCCUGCACAAAAAUUACCCUCUGAAUUUUGUGUCCCCGUGAAAAGAAAGGUUAACUGAUGUAUGAAAACCAUAUCUGAAUUUUGGAUUUAAAACAUUUGAAUAAAGAAGACCACAGUAGAAUUGAUGGACAUCUAGAUAAAUUAAACCUGAUGGAAGUUCUGGAAUAUGUUGAAGCAUCUUGCAGUGACUCAAGUAAGAGAUAAUGAUACCAGUGAUGAUAGGUAAUAAAUUUCACUGGGAAAUUCCCUUAGAUUGCAGCCUUGAAGCUUUAAUGUCCUCAAGGAGCAUAAACCGGACAAAGACGGCAAUGGAAAAUUCAUUGAAUCUAAAUGCCCAACAAUAAGAUGCUCUAAAGAUUGCAGUCUCCCCAAGUUGUCUGGCAAUUUGUUGAAGUUUGGACAGCUUCUGAUAAAGAGAGUUUUAAAAGAUGUCAAAUUACAAAUACUCUCAGGAAGAUUCACAAGGUUUUUGCAUUGUGACAGAAACAAAGAUUGAAGCUCUCUUAGAUGUUGAAUUGAUGAUGGUAUCUCUUUUAUGGCGGUUCUAUCUAAAUAAAGAUUUCUCAAGCUCUCCAUAUCUUGCAGGAUUUCUGGAAAGCUCUCUAGUUGUGAACAGCCAGAGCAGGAGAGAGUUGCAAGGGAUUUGAAAUCAAAAAUGCUACUGGGCAGACUAGUAAGAUUGUUGCAAUCCUGAAGACAUAAACUAUCAAGUUCCAAGGGAUUCUCGAUAAUGGGUACUUCAUUCAUAUCACUGCCCUUAAAACAGCACUUCCGUCGAAGCGUCCCAUCCCGUUGGCAUGCCCGACAUAUUCUAACAUCUGCAUCCUCAUGGCUUUGUUGAAGGUCUUGGGAGUAUAUAAGGCGGACUCCACACUCCUUUACUUUCAAGGCUUUCUCAGAAUUACUGUAAAAGUCGUAAAAGGUAAACCCAAUGUGAGUCCAUUGAUCAGAGCAAUACCUUUCCGGAAUAGCCGCCUUGGUAUAGCAAAUCACCCACGUCUGACCUGAUACACUCUCAUUAUCUUCGUCCUUGUCUUCUUUAUAGCAAAAACAAUUGGAUUGAAAGCAAGGACGAUCUAAAACUUCACGUCCAUCACCAAUCAUAGCCAAAGUACACAUCAGACUACAAGAACGUGUAUGUUUAUGUUCAUUCUUACGAAAAGAUUCAGCCACAGAUUUAUCGUCUGUUUCAUUCUCCCAUGCAUAAGCAGAUUCAUCCUUAGAUUUAUUGUCUGAUUCAUUCUUGGACCCGUGUGCAGAUUCCUUUUCGGGUAUGUCCUCAGAUUCGUAAGCAAGUGGAACAUAAACACAGC